Molecule: ribosomal RNA, 194 nt
Filed under: Iberochondrostoma lusitanicum
Lineage: Eukaryota; Metazoa; Chordata; Actinopteri; Cypriniformes; Leuciscidae
Description: partial 12S ribosomal RNA
Source: RNAcentral
UAAAGGCAUGGUCCUGACCUUAUUAUUAGCUUUAACCCGACUUACACAUGCAAGUCUCCGCAACCCCGUGAGUAUGCCCUUAAUCCCCCACCCGGGGACGAGGAGCGGGCAUCAGGCACAAAUUUUUAGCCCAAGACGCCUGGCCGAGCCACACCCCCAAGGGAAUUCAGCAGUGAUAAAUAUUAAGCCAUAAG